GGCCGGGCGCGCGCCGCAGGAGGGGCGUGGCCGGGGGCGUGGCCACAGCUGGACCACGCCCAGCACCGACCUUGUUCCCGGGACGCGCCGCCGCCGCUCGGAGCGGGCUGAUCCCGCCGAUCCCCGACCCGCCGCCGCAGAGGCCGACAUGAGCACGUCCUUCCUGUGUUAGGGCUGCCCUUCACCACGUCCGUGACCCCAGCCCGGCGGCGAGGAUGCGCGCCUGGAAGGCGGUUGCCAGCACGCUGGCGCUCAGCGGGGCCGAUGUGGCGGUCACCACGCUGCUCUACACCCACGGCCAGGGCGGCCGCAAUGUCCUGCAGGACCUGCGGCACUUCAACAUCUUCAACUCGCUGCUGGACAUCUGGGGGGGCUGCCUGUACCGCAGCUGCGUGCUGCUGGGGGCCGCCAUCGGCGUGGCCACCAACACGGCCUACGGCCCCCGGCGCCUCAGGGCAUCGCGGACCUUCAUCGCCGUCGUCUGCCUCCUCAUGGGCAUCUACAUGAUGGUGAAGCUGCUGCUCUACUCGGAGGUGCGGAAGACCAUCAGGGACCCCUGGUUCUGGGGGCUCUUUGCCUGGACCUACGUGGCGCUGGCGGCCACCUUCGGGCUGUGGCAGCUGCUGGCCUGUGUCACCUCCUCCCGCGAGGCGCUGGGGCCCAGCUCCGAGUCCCGUGCCGAGGUGGAGGAGAGCUGUGAUGGGGGCACCCCGAGGGACAAGAGGGAGGAGGCAGCAGGUCCCACCAUCCAUAAACUGCUGUCCUACACCAAGCCGGAUGCCUUCUUCCUGGGCAUCGCCUCCUUCUUCCUCCUCGUGGCCGCCUUGGGAGAGACCUUCCUGCCCUACUACACAGGGCUGGCCAUCGACGGCAUCGUGGUGCAGAAGAGUAUGGAUCGCUUCUCCACGGCAGUGCUGGUCAUGUCACUGCUGGCCAUAGGAAGCUCAUUUGCCGCAGGUAUCCGGGGCGGCGUUUUUACGCUCAUCUUUGCACGGCUGAACAUCCGCCUUCGGAACUGCCUCUUCAGGUCCCUGGUGUCUCAGGAGAUGAGUUUUUUUGAUGAGAAUCGCACAGGGGAUGUCAUCUCCCGCCUGACGUCGGACACGACCAUCGUGAGCGACCUGGUCUCGCAGAACAUCAACAUCUUCCUGCGCAACGUGGUGAAGGCCACGGGCGUCAUCUUCUUCAUGUUCAGCCUGUCCUGGAAGCUCUCCCUGGUCACCUUCAUGGGCUUCCCCAUCAUCAUGCUGGUGUCUGAUGUCUAUGGGAAGUACUACCAGAAGCUCUCCAAGGAUGUGCAGAGCGCUCUGGCCAAGGCCAACAACACGGCUGAGGAGACCAUCUCGGCCAUGAAGACCGUCCGCAGCUUUGCCAACGAGGAGACGGAGGCCAACGUGUACUGGCAGAAGCUGCAGCAGGUGUACAAGCUCAACAAGCGGGAGGCCAUGGCUUACACCUACUAUGUCUGGUCCAGUGGGCUGACCCUGCUGGUGGUCCAGGUCAGCAUCCUUUACUACGGUGGGCACCUCGUGAUCUCUGGGCAAAUGACAAGUGGAAACCUGAUAUCCUUCAUCAUUUAUGAGUUCGUCCUGGGGGACUGCAUGGAGUCCAUCGGCUCCGUGUACAGCGGCCUCAUGCAGGGCGUGGGGGCUGCUGAGAAGGUUUUUGAGUUCAUCGACCGCCAGCCCACCAUGGUGCACGACGGCUCCCUGGCCCCGGAUCACGUGGAUGGGAAGGUGGAGUUCAGGAAUGUCACCUUUUCCUACCGCACUCGCUCCGCCACCCAGGUCCUCCAGGACGUGUCCUUCACCCUGCACCCUGGCAAAGUGACAGCGCUGGUGGGUCCUUCAGGGAGUGGGAAGAGCUCCUGUGUCAACAUCCUGGAGAACUUCUACCCUCUGCAGGACGGGCAGGUGCUGCUGGAUGGGCGUCCCAUUAACAUGUACGAUCACAAGUACCUGCACUCCGUGAUCUCCCUGGUGAGCCAGGAGCCCGUGCUGUUCGCCCGCUCCAUUGCAGACAAUAUUUCCUAUGGCUUGGCUUCAGCCUCCUUCGAGUCCGUGGUCCAGGCUGCCCAGAAGGCCAACGCCCACAACUUCAUCACGGAGCUGCAGGACGGCUACCACACAGAGGCUGGGGAAAAAGGAGCUCAGCUGUCAGGUGGGCAGAAGCAGAGAGUGGCGAUUGCCAGGGCCUUGAUCCGAGCCCCUCCCAUCCUCAUCCUGGACGAAGCCACGAGCGCGCUGGAUGCAGAGAGCGAGCACGCGAUUCAGCAGGCGAUUUACGGCGACUUGCAGAACCACACGGUGCUUGUCAUAGCCCACAGGCUGAGCACUGUGGAGAGGGCACACAACAUCAUUGUGCUGGACAAGGGCCGCGUGGUGCAGCAGGGCUCGCACAAGGAGCUGAUGGAAGAAGGAGGCCUUUAUUCCAAGCUGGUGCAGAGACAGAUCCUGGGGCUGGAGGGGGGCGGCACGGACAGUGGCCAGCCUGCAGCCCGGGGGGAUGCAGCCAAGGCGCCCGGAGGGCUGCAGGAGGAGUUCAGGAUAGACCAUUCCCUGCCGGCCGCGGCACAGGACGAUUUCACCAACGCCGCGCCCAAGUGAGGGCGGCCGGCGCUCGGACGCUCCCUGGGAUGGAGGUGGCAGAACGGCUGGGAUGGAGGUGGCAGAACGGCUGGGAUGGAGGUGGCAGAACUGCUGGGAUGGAGGUGGCAGAACGGCUGGGAUGGAGGUGGCAGAACUGCUGGGAUGGAGGUGGCAGAACGGCGCCGCUGGCUCGCCCCACGUCACGCACCCUGCACACCCAAACACACACCAUAGAGCUUCCUGCAGGACACCCUGCCGGCCGGCAAAACAGGGAUUCACUGGAGGGAGCUGGGUCUUUAGCAAUUCUCAGCAUUUCUACUGGGUUCCUUUUCUUACUACCAGUAACUCCUCUCGACUGGGACUUUUCUCCCAUCGAUCUGCAUGUGUAACUGCUAUUAACUGUAAUGGAUGUUAAAUGCAUGCGUGGGGGGGAAGGUUGAAAACCCCUCCAGGAAUUUCAGGGGGUGGCUUUUGUGGCUGGAUAGAAAAAUGAUGACUGUAAAGCGAGGUCGUGCUCCCUCUGUCAAUCUAUGGGGCUAAUCCAAAGUUGGCUGAAGCCUGUAGGGAGCUCCCUUUGGCUUUGGUGAAAACUGGAUCACUCCCAUGGAGCUGAAUGCCGGGAGAGUUUUGCACUGAGUGCCUGCAGGCUCAGGCUCUCAACCAUUGCUGCUGAGCUUGUAUUACGUAGUAUCCAUCCUUGCUGGGACAAGCCGGGGGACUGGGAGGCAGAUGUUACUCUCUGAUUUGCUCUUGGUGCUUGGUGGGUGUUUGUUUUUAAGGAUGAAAUGUUUUACCAUAACAGGGUUAGGUUUUGGGGCUUGGGGUUUUUUUUGGUUCGAUUUGUUUGUAGUUUUUUAACGUUAUUUGUGUGCACUGUGCAAUGUCUGUCUGGCUCCAGCAUCCACUGAAAAUUGGUCUGUUAUUUCAGAAUUUUUUUUAACUCACAACCCCGGUGCUGGUGUGAAAAAAAAAACACUACUAAAGACAGGCAAAAAACACUACAAUACAGCACUUUAUAAAUCCCACCAAAGCUUUGUUCAGCUUCAGGCCAUGCUAGCGACUUCACUGCAUGGGAAAUCCGUUCUGUCACGUUCCUUGAAGUCCAGCUUCAGCUGCCUGAACUUUAUAAUGUGUUUCUUUGAAAAUAAUUUAUUUUAGUAUGAGGGGUAGAAAGAAAUGUGUCGCUCCUAGCCCUUUGGGGUAAUGGCUCUGGCUUCGUAGUGUUAUCUUGCUAUAGAUUGGUGAAAAAUCCUAUGCAGCCAGGCAAGUGCUGUUUUAAAAAUAGCAUUUCUAGGGGAACACUGACUUCAGACUCUGCAUAGUUAAGAAAUUCUCUCAAGCACUUUAGCUCUCAUGUUUUCUGAUACUUGAAUGCUGCUGCAUUUUCCUUUCCAGCAGGUUUGCAUUUUUGUUAUUGGCAAUGUUUUGUUUUCAGUUAGUGAUGUUUUACAAACUCUAAAUUUAGUGUCCUUGAGGAGGGAUGCUCAAAAGAAAUAAAAUACUACCUCUGCCACUCAA
Molecule: RNA transcript, 4106 nt
Organism: Onychostruthus taczanowskii (white-rumped snowfinch)
Lineage: Eukaryota; Metazoa; Chordata; Aves; Passeriformes; Passeridae
Gene: ABCB9
Gene name: ATP binding cassette subfamily B member 9
Exons: 13
Source: RefSeq, a predicted model, not a curated record